AAAAAUAUAUGAAUUAACCCAACGACUAUGUCUAUGAAGCCUCGACUGAUAAACUGACGCAUUGCUCAGGACAUGAGAUUUCCUGCACAGUUCUCUAAGUAAGCAAAGAAAUAACUAAAUAAAGAUGACUCAAAGGAAUACCCCACGAACAAAAGUGGAGCUCACCAAUAGCACUGGAAGAGAAGGAAGUCCUAACUCGUAGCCUGCUCGCCUACAAAUUCAGUUCCUACGUUGUACCGCAGACCAACGUAGGUUCCUAAAAGAGAACGUCAGUGCCAUUCAUUGUACUCAAUAAGUCUCAACAACAUGGGGCAAAACUUUAAUAACAUAUACAUUAAGAGCAAAGGUUCUAAAUACAUCUAAAACGUAAAGCUUAUAAGAAUAAUUCUAAAUAAUUGCAUAAUAGCAGUUUAUGAAUAUUAUAAAAAAAUCUUUUUCUUAAAAAAAAAACAAUUACUUCUCUUUAUGCUUUGGGAGUUUCAACUAUCCUGACUUAAUUCUGUCUCAGUCACCGUGUGAUAGGCACAGGUUCGAUCCUAACCUGACCGAAUAGGCCCAAUCCACGAGGUGUCACUCGCUUCAUAAUUCUCGGUGCUCAUGUAUCAUAGCUUAAGCAUGGCUAAGUAAAUUUUUAGCAGUGAGACUCUCGGCUCAUGUGCUCUCUACUUUGGCACAAGUAGUUUCAAGAAGUCAACGCCUUGGUCAGGACCCUCGGCCUGGACGAUGACCCCUUCUCAGAAGAUACUCCCAAAAAUCUUUUCUUUCUAAAACUUCUUCUUGCGACUUUUCAAGUCUAAGUCUUUUACGCAUAAUCAUAUCGGUAUCCUUAAAUGUAAAACAUGAUAUAAGAAUGAAAUAAAUAUUCGAUAAUAAAAUAAUAGAAAUAGGUACAAAUUGACUCAAAUACCGCCAUAAAAUGAUAUAAUAAAACACUGACAUCUAAAACCUUAAAAAUGUUCUCUAUGAAUUCUUCCUUAUAUUCAUACUCAUCAAAUGUUACGUCCUACAUUGUUUACAUAUACCAAACUUUAGUAAAAUCUGUGCAAGUACAAUACUAAACAAUAUUAUUGCACAAACCUAGAUUGGUUUCUAUUUCGUUCAUAGCUAGUCCAUAUAACAUAGUUAACUUGAUAACCUAAUAAUAAUACGUAGUGAAGAGGAUAUGGCUUUCUUGAUCCUGCAUGAAUUUUCAACAUGAAAAUGGCAUAUAAGAAUAACAUAAAAAUCUAAAAUUUAUGCAUGUAUAUCCAAAUAGUCAUCUAAUCUUUAGCUAGAAAAUAAUUCUAAGCUAAUAGGUAAUUACUACUCCAAUUGAGUAUAUAUUAACACUUUUAUGUAAUUCAUCAAACACCUAACUUCGAAUUUCCUUAAAACUCACACCCUUGGACUUACCAAAAUAGCGCUUCAGAAUAGUGCUCUCUCAGUUAAAUGGGUUUUCAAUAUUAUUGCUGUGAUCCGCCAACCAGACAUAAUGUGAAAGUCUUCAAGAGUGAAGGAAACAUCAUGCCCAAAAAUCUUGAAACUAAUGGAGUCUCGCUCAUUCGUGAAUAUUCAAGAAAGACACAAAAGAUGAACUAAUUUUAUGUUGUUGCAUUUGAAAUUCUCCAUAGCAACAAUGUAUCUAAAUGCACCAGUAGUAAGUUUAUCCCUAUGUGCAGGAGUUCAAAAAUUUACAAUUAAACUCUUCAAAUCAUGGUUCCCCUUCCAGUAACCCUUGGAGUUAAACCAUUCUGUAAACUCAAAAUAUUUUUGUCCUGGUCUUGUAGUUGGAGGCUCAGGGACAUAAGGACAUGGUGCUACUAUAGGUAGUCUAUAUCUUUUAGGUGCUUUGAUUUCUUUAGCUACAUUAGAAUCUUUAGGUGCUUUAUGAGUCAUCUAUCCAAAAAAAGUAAAAGACACAAAUAAUAACAUCAGGACAUUAUCAAAAAGAUCAUUUAAAACUUCAACAACUAAGAAGGCUUAAGUUCGACAAGUAUAAAAUAAAAACUUCGACAGGUACAAAACAAAAACUUAAGCUCUAGAACUGAAGUUUACAGGUAUAAAACAAAAAUUUCACCAGUAACAAAUACAAAAACUUCAUCUCCUAAAGAUGGACUUCACCAG
RNAcentral lists this long non-coding RNA (2103 nucleotides) under Nicotiana benthamiana. RNAcentral's name for it is "long non-coding RNA (NBEN_LNC027883)". The record is from RNAcentral. Lineage: Eukaryota; Viridiplantae; Streptophyta; Magnoliopsida; Solanales; Solanaceae.